ACUCGCUUUAAAAAUAAUGUUGAUGCGUUUGACAUAUUAAAUGCAGUGAAACUUGUAGGAGACUUCCUUCUUCCAAAAAUAGAAUUUAACAUUGACAAAUACAUAUUUAGGACGUGAAAAUAUUUCAGUUGAUCAAAACAGAUAUCGUUUAACAAAAUGUCGGAUAGUGCAGGAUUAGACCAAUCUAGAGACCGUUACCCAAAUAGGCAUUCCUACGGGUAUUACACACCACAACUGUUUCCGCCGCAACAAGGUUAUGUCUGGCAGCCAUAUCCGAUGCAAGCAACCUAUCGACCCAACACAAAUGCAACAAAUAUGUCUGUUCAUCAGCCUCAGACUAGUGAUGCGAUUUACCAAGGAAAAGGCCCCCCGAUUAAAU
This is a long non-coding RNA of Ruditapes philippinarum (Manila clam), 379 nucleotides long. RefSeq lists it as uncharacterized. Lineage: Eukaryota; Metazoa; Mollusca; Bivalvia; Venerida; Veneridae. The record is from RefSeq and is a predicted model, not a curated record. The transcript has 3 exons.